AGAACGAACGCUGGCGGCAUGCCUAAUACAUGCAAGUCGAACGAACACUUCGGUGUUAGUGGCGCACGGGUGCGUAACGCGUGGGAAUCUGCCCUUGGGUUCGGAAUAACAGUUGGAAACGACUGCUAAUACCGGAUGAUAUCGAAAGAUCAAAGAUUUAUCGCCCAGGGAUGAGCCCGCGUAGGAUUAGCUAGUUGGUGAGGUAAAGGCUCACCAAGGCGACGAUCCUUAGCUGGUCUGAGAGGAUGACCAGCCACAUUGGGACUGAGACACGGCCCAAACUCCGUACGGGAGGCAGCAGGUGGGGAAUCGUUGCGACAAGUGGGGACGAAAG
Molecule: ribosomal RNA, 334 nt
Filed under: uncultured soil bacterium
Lineage: Bacteria
Description: bacterial SSU rRNA
Rfam family: Bacterial small subunit ribosomal RNA
Source: RNAcentral